Talpa occidentalis (Iberian mole) is the source of this 217-nucleotide long non-coding RNA. RefSeq lists it as uncharacterized. NCBI's taxonomy places the organism in Eukaryota, Metazoa, Chordata, Mammalia, Eulipotyphla, Talpidae. The record is from RefSeq and is a predicted model, not a curated record. The transcript has 3 exons.
GUACAGAGCCCACCCUCCUUACUUGUUCUCAUGCUGGAGAGCGAACCAGCCCCAUGGUCCAUAUGCAGCUGGACCAGGUAUACCUGGAGGUCCUGGAGGUCCUGGGGAAAGGGAGCAGCCAUCAGUGACACUAAAGCUUCUUAGAGCGGGAGUGCAGGAUACGAUGUGAAAGGUUUGCAAAGGAUGUAGAAAUUCCACCUCCACACGCCUCAGUCCA